GAUGAAAAACGUAGCGAAAUGCGAUAAGUAAUGUGAAUUGCAGAAUUCAGUGAAUCAUCGAAUCUUUGAACGCACAUUGCGCCCGCCAGUAUUCUGGCGGGCAUGCCUGUCCGAGCGUCAUUUCAACCCUCGAACCCCUCCGGGGGGUCGGCGUUGGGGAUCGGCCCUUUCACCGGGUGCCGGCCCCUAAAUACAGUGGCGGUCUCGCCGCAGCCUCUCAUGCGCAGUAGUUUGCACACUCGCACCGGGAGCGCGGCGCGUCCACGUCCGUAAAACACCCCAACUUCUGAAAUGUUGACCUCGGAUCAGGUAGGAAUACCCGCUGAACUUAAGCAUAUCAAUAAGCGGAGGA
This 352-nucleotide unclassified non-coding RNA is filed under the name soil metagenome. RNAcentral describes it as "partial contains 5.8S ribosomal RNA, internal transcribed spacer 2, and large subunit ribosomal RNA". The stretch from base 1 to 120 matches the Rfam family "5.8S ribosomal RNA", at positions 35 to 154 of the family's 154-position model. The record is from RNAcentral.